CGAUUAGUUUGAUCAUGGCUCAGGACGAACGCUGGCGGCGUGCUUAACACAUGCAAGUGGAGCGACGAACCCGGGCUUGCCCGGGGGCAGAGCCGCGAACGGGUGAGUAACACGUGGGUCACCUGCCUUGAUGACCGGGACAACCCGAGGAAACUCAGGCUAAUACCGGAUGUGCUCUUCGGAGGAAAGGAAGCUUCGGCCUCCGCAUCGAGAUGGGCCCGCGGCGCAUUAGCUUGUUGGUGGGGUAACGGCCUACCAAGGCGACGAUGCGUAGCUGGUCUGAGAGGACGAUCAGCCACACUGGGACUGAGACACGGCCCAGACUCCUACGGGAGGCAGCAGNGGGGAAUCUUGCGCAAUGCGCGAAAGCGUGACGCANCAACGCCGCGUGGGGGAAGAAGGNCUUAGGGUUGUAAACCUCUUUCAGUUGGGACGA
RNAcentral lists this ribosomal RNA (436 nucleotides) under uncultured bacterium. RNAcentral describes it as "bacterial SSU rRNA". It matches the Rfam family "Bacterial small subunit ribosomal RNA", at positions 1 to 448 of the family's 1533-position model. The record is from RNAcentral.